UAACCCCUGCUAUGUUCGUCAGGAUCGUUUGGAUUUGAAAGAACCGAUGCCCAUAUAUCGGGAGGUUUGGUCUUAGUGGAUCGGAUAAGCCUGCUUGAUAGGAUUUUCGGACACGAGCGAUUACCACCCACUUAACUGUGAUGGGUUCUUUUCAAACACUUUCCAACGGCAUGUGUGGAGGUUGA
This 185-nucleotide non-coding RNA is filed under the name Phycisphaeraceae bacterium. RNAcentral describes it as "6S RNA". It matches the Rfam family "6S / SsrS RNA". From Rfam's summary of the family: E. coli 6S RNA was the first non coding RNA to be sequenced, but its function was unknown until recently. It consists of 184 nucleotides that fold into an extended hairpin structure with a large single-stranded internal bulge. The record is from RNAcentral. Lineage: Bacteria; Pseudomonadati; Planctomycetota; Phycisphaerae; Phycisphaerales; Phycisphaeraceae.